CCUACGGGAGGCAGCAGUGAGGAAUAGUGGUCAAUGGACGAGAGUCUGAACCAGCCAAGUAGCGUGAAGGAUGACUGCCCUAUGGGUUGUAAACUUCUUUUAUAUGGGAAUAAAACGUUCCACGUGUGGGAUUUUGUAUGUACCAUAUGAAUAAGGAUCGACUAACUCCGUGCCAGCAGCCGCGGUAAUACGGAGGAUCCGAGCGUUAUCCGGAUUUAUUGGGUUUAAAGGGAGCGUAGGUGGAUUGUUAAGUCAGUUGUGAAAGUUUGCGGCUCAACCGUAAAAUUGCAGUUGAAACUGGCAGUCUUGAGUACAGUAGAGGUGGGCGGAAUUCGUGGUGUAGCGGUGAAAUGCUUAGAUAUCACGAAGAACUCCGAUUGCGAAGGCAGUUCACUGGACUGCAACUGACACUGAGGCUCGAAAGUGUGGGUAUCAAACAGGAUUAGAUACCCCAGUAGUC
RNAcentral lists this ribosomal RNA (460 nucleotides) under uncultured bacterium. RNAcentral describes it as "partial 16S ribosomal RNA". It matches the Rfam family "Bacterial small subunit ribosomal RNA", at positions 338 to 795 of the family's 1533-position model. The record is from RNAcentral.